UUGGAGGGCAAGUCUGGUGCCAGCAGCCGCGGUAAUUCCAGCUCCAAUAGCGUAUAUUAAAGUUGUUGCAGUUAAAAAGCUCGUAGUUGAAUUUUGGGCCUGGCUGGGUGGUCUUGCCGAAAGGUAAGCACUGCUCUGGUCGGGUCUUUCCUUCUGGGGAACCAGCGUGCUCUUAACUGAGUGCGUUGGGGAUCCAGGACUUUUACUUUGAAAGAAUUAGAGUGUUUAAAGCAGGCUUACGCUUGAAUACAUUAGCAUGGAAUAAUAGAAUAGGACUUUGGUUCUAUUUUGUUGGUUUCUU
RNAcentral lists this ribosomal RNA (301 nucleotides) under fungal sp. RNAcentral's name for it is "SSU rRNA". It matches the Rfam family "Eukaryotic small subunit ribosomal RNA", at positions 548 to 853 of the family's 1831-position model. Lineage: Eukaryota; Fungi. The record is from RNAcentral.